RNAcentral lists this ribosomal RNA (491 nucleotides) under uncultured bacterium. RNAcentral describes it as "partial 16S ribosomal RNA". It matches the Rfam family "Bacterial small subunit ribosomal RNA", at positions 29 to 506 of the family's 1533-position model. The record is from RNAcentral.
AGUGAACGCUGGCGGUAGGCCUAACACAUGCAAGUCGAACGGCAGCACAGUAAGAGCUUGCUCUUACGGGUGGCGAGUGGCGGACGGGUGAGGAAUACAUCGGAAUCUACUUUUUCGUGGGGGAUAACGUAGGGAAACUUACGCUAAUACCGCAUACGACCUACGGGUGAAAGCAGGGGAUCUUCGGACCUUGCGCGAUUGAAUGAGCCGAUGUCGGAUUAGCUAGUUGGCGGGGUAAAGGCCCACCAAGGCGACGAUCCGUAGCUGGUCUGAGAGGAUGAUCAGCAACACUGGAACUGAGACACGGUCCAGACUCCUACGGGAGGCAGCAGUGGGGAAUAUUGGACAAGGGGCGAAAGCCUGAUCCAGCCAGACCGCGUGGGUGAAGAAGGCCUUCGGGUUGUAAAGCCCUUUUGUUGGGAAAGAAAAGCAGCAGGUUAAUACCCCGCUGUUCUGACGGUACCCAAAGAAUAAGCACCGGCUAACUUCGU